RNAcentral lists this transfer RNA (87 nucleotides) under Patescibacteria group bacterium. Its description in RNAcentral is "tRNA-Ser". It matches the Rfam family "tRNA". Rfam says of the family: Transfer RNA (tRNA) molecules are approximately 80 nucleotides in length. Their secondary structure includes four short double-helical elements and three loops (D, anti-codon, and T loops). The record is from RNAcentral.
GGAGGAGUGGCCGAGUGGUUGAAGGCGCAGGUCUCGAAAACCUGUGGAGGAGCAAUCCUCUCGUGAGUUCGAAUCUCACCUCCUCCG